UGGGGAAUCUUAGACAAUGGGCGCAAGCCUGAUCUAGCCAUGCCGCGUGAGCGAUGAAGGCCUUAGGGUUGUAAAGCUCUUUCGUGGGGGAAGAUAAUGACUGUACCCCAAGAAGAAGCCCCGGCUAACUCCGUGCCAGCAGCCGCGGUAAUACGGAGGGGGCUAGCGUUGUUCGGAAUUACUGGGCGUAAAGCGCACGUAGGCGGACCAGAAAGUCAGAGGUGAAAUCCCAGGGCUCAACCUUGGAACUGCCUUUGAAACUCCUGGUCUUGAGGUCGAGAGAGGUGAGUGGAAUUCCGAGUGUAGAGGUGAAAUUCGUAGAUAUUCGGAGGAACACCAGUGGCGAAGGCGGCUCACUGGCUCGAUACUGACGCUGAGGUGCGAA
This 385-nucleotide ribosomal RNA is filed under the name uncultured bacterium. RNAcentral describes it as "bacterial SSU rRNA". It matches the Rfam family "Bacterial small subunit ribosomal RNA", at positions 355 to 757 of the family's 1533-position model. The record is from RNAcentral.